Molecule: ribosomal RNA, 857 nt
Filed under: Sclerophrys brauni (dead-leaf toad)
Lineage: Eukaryota; Metazoa; Chordata; Amphibia; Anura; Bufonidae
Description: partial 16S ribosomal RNA
Rfam family: Bacterial large subunit ribosomal RNA
Source: RNAcentral
UGCGUCAAAGCUUAAUUGUUUCUACGCCUAAUUCUUUUAUUAUUAUAAAAUCCUCCAUUUGUACUGAGUAAUUCUAUAUUCAUAUAGAAAAUUUAAUGUUAAAACUAGUAACAAGAAGAAAGCCCUUCUCUAAAAUGUAAGUGUAAAUCAGGCAGGACAAACCGCUGACAAUUAACAUAUUUGAGCCAAAAGUAACAACACAUCAAGAAAACCUUACUUAUACCUAUGUUAACCUAACACAAGAGCAUUCCAAGAAAGAUUAAAAGAAAAAGAAGGAACUCGGCAAAUACUAACCCCGCCUGUUUACCAAAAACAUCGCCUCUUGCAUCUCAUAAGAGGUCCAGCCUGCCCAGUGACUCUGUUCAACGGCCGCGGUAUCCUAACCGUGCGAAGGUAGCGUAAUCACUUGUUCUUUAAUUGUGGACUAGUAUGAAUGGCACCACGAGGGUUAUACUGUCUCCUUUUUCUAAUCAGUGAAACUAAUCUCUCCGUGAAGAAGCGGAGAUGAAGUUAUAAGACGAGAAGACCCUAUGGAGCUUUAAACAACUAUAGCAAUUAUCACAUUACACAGAUUUUUUCUGAAUCAAUUAAUUCUUAAGGUAGUAUGACUAUACGUUUUUGGUUGGGGUGACCGCGGAGCAAAAUUUAACCUCCAUGUUGAAUGACUAAACUUCUAAGCUGAGACCUACAUGUCUAAGCAUCAACACACUGACACUUAUUGACCCAAUAUACUUGAGCAACGAACCAAGUUACCCUAGGGAUAACAGCGCAAUCCACUUCAAGAGCUCCUAUCGACAAGUGGGUUUACGACCUCGAUGUUGGAUCAGGGUAUCCCAGUGGUGCAGCCGCUACUAAAG